This 301-nucleotide ribosomal RNA is filed under the name uncultured bacterium. Its description in RNAcentral is "partial 16S ribosomal RNA". It matches the Rfam family "Bacterial small subunit ribosomal RNA", at positions 509 to 807 of the family's 1533-position model. The record is from RNAcentral.
CAGCAGCCACGGGAAUACGUAGGGUGCGAGCGUUAAUCGGAAUUACUGGGCGUAAAGCGUGCGCAGGCGGUUCGUUAAGACAGAUGUGAAAUCCCCGGGCUUAACCUGGGAACUGCAUUUGUGACUGGCGAGCUAGAGUAUGGCAGAGGGGGGUAGAAUUCCACGUGUAGCAGUGAAAUGCGUAGAGAUGUGGAGGAAUACCGAUGGCGAAGGCAGCCCCCUGGGCCAAUACUGACGCUCAUGCACGAAAGCGUGGGGAGCAAACAGGAUUAGAUACCCCAGUAGUCCCUGUCUCUUAUAC